UACGUAGGUGGCGAGCGUUGUCCGGAUUUACUGGGCGUAAAGCGUGCGCAGGCGGCUGCUCAAGUCAGGGGUGAAAGCCCAGAGCUCAACUCUGGAAUUGCCUUUGAGACUGAGUGGCUUGAGUACGGGAGAGGUGAGUGGAAUUCCCAGUGUAGAGGUGAAAUUCGUAGAUAUUGGGAAGAACACCGGUGGCGAAGGCGGCCCACUGGUCCGGUACUGACGCUGAGGUGCGAAAGCGUGGGGAGCAAACAGG
RNAcentral lists this ribosomal RNA (253 nucleotides) under uncultured bacterium. RNAcentral describes it as "partial 16S ribosomal RNA". It matches the Rfam family "Bacterial small subunit ribosomal RNA", at positions 524 to 776 of the family's 1533-position model. The record is from RNAcentral.